This 203-nucleotide long non-coding RNA is filed under the name Elaeis guineensis (African oil palm). RNAcentral describes it as "long non-coding RNA (EGUI_LNC062606)". The record is from RNAcentral. Lineage: Eukaryota; Viridiplantae; Streptophyta; Magnoliopsida; Arecales; Arecaceae.
AGACCAUCACGGUGACUUGUAACCAACUUACUGUACUUUAAUACCGGACUAUCUGAGUUUUUAACUUAGUGAUAGAAGGAUACUAAGUAUCGUCAAGUACUUAUCAAGUCGGUGUGUGAGUCAAGAUAGAAUUAACCCCUCUGAAUUGGUAAAAAAUAUGCAUCAGUUGAAGGAACCAGAUCUAGGGUUUCAGGGUUAAAUCU